This is a small nuclear RNA of 115 nucleotides. It matches the Rfam family "U2 spliceosomal RNA". Rfam says of the family: U2 is a small nuclear RNA (snRNA) component of the spliceosome (involved in pre-mRNA splicing). The record is from Rfam.
AUCUCUUUGCCUUUUGGCUUAGAUCAAGUGUAGUAUCUGUUCUUUUCAGUGUAACAACUGAAAUGACCUCAAUGAGGAUCAUUACCUUAACUAUUUUGUUACAACACGAUUUUUU